GCCCUGGUAGCUCAGUAGGAUAGAGCGAUCCCCUCCUAAGGGAUAGGUCAUGGGUUCGAUUCCUGUCCAGGGCACCA
This 77-nucleotide transfer RNA is filed under the name Thiotrichales bacterium. Its description in RNAcentral is "tRNA-Arg". It matches the Rfam family "tRNA". From Rfam's summary of the family: Transfer RNA (tRNA) molecules are approximately 80 nucleotides in length. Their secondary structure includes four short double-helical elements and three loops (D, anti-codon, and T loops). The record is from RNAcentral. Lineage: Bacteria; Pseudomonadati; Pseudomonadota; Gammaproteobacteria; Thiotrichales.